GACGAACGCUGGCGGCGUGCUUAACACAUGCAAGUCGAACGGAAAGGCCCUGCUUUUGUGGGGUGCUCGAGUGGCGAACGGGUGAGUAACACGUGAGUAACCUGCCCUUGACUUUGGGAUAACUUCAGGAAACUGGGGCUAAUACCGGAUAGGAGCUCCUGCUGCAUGGUGGGGGUUGGAAAGUUUCGGCGGUUGGGGAUGGACUCGCGGCUUAUCAGCUUGUUGGUGGGGUAGUGGCUUACCAAGGCUUUGACGGGUAGCCGGCCUGAGAGGGUGACCGGCCACAUUGGGACUGAGAGACGGAGCAGACUCCUACGGGGGGCAGCAGUGGGGAAUAUUGCACAAUGGGGCGAAGCCUGAUGCAGCAACGCCGCGUGCGGGAUGACGGCCUUCGGGUUGUAAACCGCUUUCGCCUGUGACGAAGCGUGAGUGACGGUAAUGGGUAAAGAAGCACCGGCUAACUACGUG
Molecule: ribosomal RNA, 468 nt
Filed under: uncultured bacterium
Lineage: Bacteria
Description: partial 16S ribosomal RNA
Rfam family: Bacterial small subunit ribosomal RNA
Source: RNAcentral